Molecule: ribosomal RNA, 282 nt
Filed under: uncultured bacterium
Lineage: Bacteria
Description: partial 16S ribosomal RNA
Rfam family: Bacterial small subunit ribosomal RNA
Source: RNAcentral
GCCUACGGGGGGCAGCAGUGGGGAAUAUUGGGCAAUGGGCGCAAGCCUGACCCAGCAACGCCGCGUGAAGGAAGAAGGCUUUCGGGUUGUAAACUUCUUUUCUGGGGGACGAACAAAUGACGGUACCCCAGGAAUAAGCCACGGCUAACUACGUGCCAGCAGCCGCGGUAAUACGUAGGUGGCAAGCGUUAUCCGGAUUUAUUGGGGGUAAAGGGCGUGUAGGCGGGAAUGCAAGCCCGAUGUGAAAACUAUGGGCUCAACCCAUAACCUGCAUUUGAAACU